RNAcentral lists this ribosomal RNA (117 nucleotides) under Clostridia bacterium. The record is from RNAcentral. Lineage: Bacteria; Bacillati; Bacillota; Clostridia.
UGUGGUGACGAUAGCGUUGAGGAUCCACCUGUUCUCAUUCCGAACACAGAAGUUAAGCUCAACCGCGCCGAAAGUACUUGUCCGGCAACGGGCCGGGAGGAUAGGUUGUUGCCACAU